RNAcentral lists this ribosomal RNA (274 nucleotides) under uncultured bacterium. RNAcentral's name for it is "partial 16S ribosomal RNA". It matches the Rfam family "Bacterial small subunit ribosomal RNA", at positions 523 to 796 of the family's 1533-position model. The record is from RNAcentral.
AUACGGAGGGUGCAAGCGUUGUUCGGAAUCACUGGGCGUAAAGGGCGCGCAGGCGGUUUGAUUAGUCAGAUGUGAAAGCCCACGGCUUAACCGUGGAAGUGCAUUUGAAACUGUCAGACUUGAGUAUCAGAGGGGAAAGUGGAAUUCCCGGUGUAGAGGUGAAAUUCGUAGAUAUCGGGAGGAAUACCGGUGGCGAAGGCGACUUUCUGGCUGAAUACUGACGCUGAGGCGCGAAAGCGUGGGGAGCAAGCAGGAUUAGAUACCCCAGUAGUCC